UUGAACGCUGGCGGCAUGCUUUACACAUGCAAGUCGAACGGCAGCGGGGGCUUCGGCCUGCCGGCGAGUGGCGAACGGGUGAGUAAUAUAUCGGAACAUACCCUGGAGUGGGGGAUAACGUAGCGAAAGUUACGCUAAUACCGCAUACGCACUAAGGUGGAAAGCGGGGGAUCGCAAGACCUCGUGCUCCUGGAGUGGCCGAUAUCUGAUUAGCUAGUUGGUAGAGUAAAAGCCUACCAAGGCGACGAUCAGUAGCUGGUUUGAGAGAACGACCAGCCACACUGGAACUGAGACACGGUCCAGACUCCUACGGGAGGCAGCAGUGGGGAAUUUUGGACAAUGGGCGCAAGCCUGAUCCAGCAAUGCCGCGUGAGUGAAGAAGGCCCUCGGGUUGUAAAGCUCUUUUGUCAGGGAAGAAACGGUGAUCGCUAAUAUCGGUUGCUAAUGACGGUACCUGAAGAAUAAGCACCGGCUAACUACGU
This 482-nucleotide ribosomal RNA is filed under the name uncultured bacterium. RNAcentral's name for it is "bacterial SSU rRNA". It matches the Rfam family "Bacterial small subunit ribosomal RNA", at positions 30 to 506 of the family's 1533-position model. The record is from RNAcentral.